GCCAGCAGCCAUAUCACCCUGCAGCCCAAGACUGGUUGGCCACUGAAGCUAAGCAGGGUUGAGCUGGUCAGUACCUGGAUGGGAGACCUUCUGGGAAAACAAGGUUGCUGUUGGAA
Molecule: ribosomal RNA, 116 nt
Organism: Sinocyclocheilus anshuiensis
Lineage: Eukaryota; Metazoa; Chordata; Actinopteri; Cypriniformes; Cyprinidae
Source: Ensembl